GGCUGUGUGCUCUCUCCGCUCCCUCUGCAACUGUCAGACUGGGCCUGGGACUGAGGGGUGCUGGGUUCUGCUUGUUUACACCACGUCGACGAGGUGGGUACUCUGUCUCCCAAAGGCUGCCCCACGGCAAAACCAAGAUUUGCUCAACUCGCCAUGUCUCAAUUCCUCUGACCGCAGCCUUCCAGAGAGGGAGCUUUGCCCAGGGAAUUGAGAUGAAGAAACACUCCAGAGAGGGGACGUGCCUCGCCCAGGGUCCUGCAGAGAUCACGUAGACACCUACAGCAGAGGGGACUUGGGCACCACAGGGGACCGUGCAUUGGAUCCUGGCCGAAAGCCAGAAGCCCCUCGAGGACAAGGACCUCCUUGUACCCCACUCCUCCCCGUGGUGCCGACCACAGGGUGCAGCACAUAGUAGGCGCUCAAAAAGUCCUCCACGAUGAGUAAAUCUUUCAUCCUUCAGUAGCUGCAAUCACCUGCCGUUUAUUCAUGUCUUCAUUCAUUUCUCUAGCAACUAGUGAGCACUGACUGUGUGCGUGGCACCCUGCUGGAUGCGGGAACACACAGUUGA
Sus scrofa (pig) is the source of this 568-nucleotide non-coding RNA. Lineage: Eukaryota; Metazoa; Chordata; Mammalia; Artiodactyla; Suidae. The record is from RefSeq and is a predicted model, not a curated record.